Molecule: ribosomal RNA, 433 nt
Filed under: uncultured bacterium
Lineage: Bacteria
Description: partial 16S ribosomal RNA
Rfam family: Bacterial small subunit ribosomal RNA
Source: RNAcentral
AGCGAACGCUGGCGGCAGGCUUAACACAUGCAAGUCGAACGCAUCCUUCGGGGUGAGUGGCAGACGGGUGAGUAACACGUGGGAACGUACCCUUCGAUCUGGGAUAACUUCGGGAAACUUGAGCUAAUACCGGAUACGCCCUUUUGGGGAAAGGUUUACUGUCGAAGGAUCGGCCCGCGUCUGAUUAGCUAGUUGGUGGGGUAACGGCCUACCAAGGCGACGAUCAGUAGCUGGUCUGAGAGGAUGAUCAGCCACACUGGGACUGAGACACGGCCCAGACUCCUACGGGAGGCAGCAGUGGGGAAUAUUGGACAAUGGGCGCAAGCCUGAUCCAGCCAUGCCGCGUGAGUGAUGAAGGCCUUAGGGUUGUAAAGCUCUUUUGUCCGGGACGAUAAUGACGGUACCGGAAGAAUAAGCCCCGGCUAACUUCGUG